This 69-nucleotide transfer RNA is filed under the name Hospesneotomae nitida. Its description in RNAcentral is "Triatoma nitida tRNA-Pro". The record is from RNAcentral. Lineage: Eukaryota; Metazoa; Arthropoda; Insecta; Hemiptera; Reduviidae.
CAGCAAAUAGUUUAUUUAGAAUGUUAAUUUUGGGGAUUAAUGGAGAGGAUAUUAUAUUUUCUUUGCUGA